UAUAUCACGUGUACUUUUAGCGCGCAUUUGAUAUUGACAGUAUCCACGAGAAAGUCGUUUGCUUGUUCUGAAUGUGCACGUAAAACCCUAUGACCUGACCUGAGAAAGUCGUGCUCACAUUUGCAAUGCGUCUUUGAAGUGUUCGGCUAAGUGGCCACUGCUCACACAUUAUUGUGCUCUUAAAAACCUUACAAGGAUUCAAGCUGCACAAUUUAACAUAAGUCCCAGAACAGCAGAGUUGUACGAGCAUUCCAAGACAGGAUGAAAAUAAAGCCAAUACCAAUGAGCCAUGUUGUGGUGGAAAGACCCACAGCAGAAGUCAGAAAACGAAAGCCUGUAUUGUGUCAGUUGGACACACAGAAGAAAUUCGACAAGGAUAACCCAAGGAGCUUUUUUCGCAUCCCAAAGAAACCAGAACCCCGAAGAAAGCUUUGGAUUACAGCCAUAAAGCGCGUGUCUAUCGUCGGAUGUCAACAAUGGGAACCUACAGACUACGAUCGCGUUUGUUAUCGUCACUAAAUAACAGGAAAGAAGAGCAAUGACAAGAAUAACCCUGACUACAUUCCCUCUGUGAACUUGGGCUACAAGGACACUAAACCAAGUGGGGAUCUGUGACAUGCUAGACACUGUUGAUUAGAGGGCAGAGAAUCCGAAAAAGGCAAGAAACAAGCAGCUUAUGCAUUACUGGAUUUGUCAAACACAGAAAAUAUAUUUGAGACACAAGCUGAAGAAUUGCAGCCACAUGUCGACAUACACAGUGGCUGUAUUAAAAAAAUUGCUGCCCUGCGAAUAGAAAACCAGCAGCUAUAUGAAGAGAAUGCGAUUUUAAAACAGAAUGAAAGUUGAGGAGCAGGUGACAUCCAGUGAUCAAAGAAUUGUUUUAUACAGGUCUACAGUCAAAAGCUCUAUUUGUAUGGCUGCUGUCAUUUUGCUUAUUUUGCUUCCCGGCACUUCCAGCGUGCAAAGUUCUAAGCCCAACAUGUGUAAUGAUGUGUAUAAUAAUGAAACUUAGGUUGAAUCUCCAGCACCAGGACUUGGCGUAUAGGUUCAGUGUGUCUGUGACCACAAUAUCCGACAUUCUUAACCAGGGAUUGCCAAAAUUAGCAGAAAAACUUUCAUUUCUGAUUCAGUGGCCUGAUAAAGACAGUCUUGAUAAGAAACAUGCCUAAUGUUAUUAAAAUAACCUACCCAAAAUGUGUGAGCAUCAUUGAUUGUUUUGAAGUUUUUAUUCAGAGACCCGGUCAACUUACAGCUAGGGCUCAAACAUGGUCAAAUUAUAAACAUAACAACACCAUUAAAUUUCUUGUGUCUAUAACGGGGGCAAUUUCUUAUGUAUCACAGGCUUUUGUGGGUAGGACAUCGGAUAAAGUUAUUACUCAGAGAAGUGGUUAUUUGGAUAAAUUGUAAUAUGGGGAUCAAGUUUUAGCAGACAGAGGAUUUCUGAUAGCAGAAGAUUUAGCAAACCGUAAUGCAACACUAGUAAUACCAGCCUUCACUAGGGGAAAGUCACAACUUAGUGCCAGAGAGGUUGAGCAGACCAGAAAAAUAGCAAAUGUGCGGAUACAUGUGGAACGAGCCAUUGAAAGACUGAAAAACUAAUAUUUUGAGUAGCAGCAUUAGUUUACACAUGGUUCCACAUGCAGACAGCAUAGUCACAAUCUGUUCAGCAUUAUGUAAUUUACAACCAUAACCUUUUCUUAGGUUUUUACCUGUAUUAUGCUUUCAAAUGGUACACAUUGUAAUUCUUCUUUUUAGUUGCAUGAAAUGGGACUAAAUAAAUGUAACUUAAACAGAAAAAGAAUAUAUUGCAUUUUUUAAAAUAUAAAUUAAAUAAAUAGUUUGGCAUAUUUCAUUUGCUAUUGUUAUGAUUUAGUCACAGCUGGCACAAAACCAUUUUCCCCUGGGCUUUCUGUGAAUGUUCACACACUUGUAGUGGAACCACUGGUAGGGACAGUCGUCAUUGUCACAUUUAAUCAUCCUACCAUAUUCCAGUUCGGAACAGAUACACCAUGUCUGAUCACCAUUGUCAACUUGCUUAAUGCUUGAUGUAGAUACAGUCUGGUUUUCAAGUUCGCAAGUAACCAAUUCAUUUAUUAUGAAAUUCUUUACAAAUUGCUCACAUUUUGUAAUCAUGCUUUGACAGAAGUCUACAUCAAUGGAUAAUCUUACGAUGACCAUACUUGGAGCCGGUUUACACUUAAGGAAAAC
Long non-coding RNA from Gigantopelta aegis, 2208 nucleotides. RefSeq lists it as uncharacterized. The transcript has 5 exons. The record is from RefSeq and is a predicted model, not a curated record. NCBI's taxonomy places the organism in Eukaryota, Metazoa, Mollusca, Gastropoda, Neomphalida, Peltospiridae.